This 63-nucleotide transfer RNA is filed under the name Ctenochauliodes yangi. Its description in RNAcentral is "tRNA-Ile". Lineage: Eukaryota; Metazoa; Arthropoda; Insecta; Megaloptera; Corydalidae. The record is from RNAcentral.
AGUGAAGUGCCUGAAAAAAGGAUUACCUUGAUAGGGUAAAUAAUGUAUAAUCUACCUUCAUUA